GGGGAUUUAGCUCAGUGGUAGAGCGCUUGCCUAGGAGGCGCAAGGCCCUGGGUUCGGUCCCCAGCUGCCCCA
Molecule: non-coding RNA, 72 nt
Organism: Rattus norvegicus (Norway rat)
Lineage: Eukaryota; Metazoa; Chordata; Mammalia; Rodentia; Muridae
Source: Rfam